CUUCUCAGCCGCUCCAGCAAUGGACGCAACCCAGAAAACUAUCGGUAUGGAUUUUUGCCGAUAACCUAUAGUUCCAGCAAUCAGCUAUCGGUGCUGAUUAAUCGGCAAAACCGAUACAUCGGUCAACCUCUAGCAACACUCAUGUCUCCAUCUU
Sinocyclocheilus grahami is the source of this 154-nucleotide long non-coding RNA. RefSeq lists it as uncharacterized. The record is from RefSeq and is a predicted model, not a curated record. The transcript has 3 exons. Lineage: Eukaryota; Metazoa; Chordata; Actinopteri; Cypriniformes; Cyprinidae.